GUAAGGAAUAUUGGACAAUGGACGCAAGUCUGAUCCAGCCAUGCCGCGUGAAGGAUUAAGGUCCUCUGGAUUGUAAACUUCUUUUAUAAGGGACGAAAAAAGGCUUUUCUAAGUCGUCUGACGGUACCUUAUGAAUAAGCACCGGCUAACUCCGUGCCAGCAGCCGCGGUAAUACGGAGGGUGCAAGCGUUAUCCGGAUUCACUGGGUUUAAAGGGUGCGUAGGCGGGCAGGUAAGUCAGUGGUGAAAUCCUAGAGCUUAACUCUAGAACUGCCAUUGAUACUAUCUGUCUUGAAUAUUGUGGAGGUAAGCGGAAUAUGUCAUGUAGCGGUGAAAUGCUUAGAUAUGACAUAGAACACCUAUUGCGAAGGCAGCUUACUACGCAUAUAUUGACGCUGAGGCACGAAAGCGUGGGGAUCAAACAGGAUUAGAUACCCCGGUAGUCC
RNAcentral lists this ribosomal RNA (445 nucleotides) under uncultured bacterium. RNAcentral describes it as "bacterial SSU rRNA". It matches the Rfam family "Bacterial small subunit ribosomal RNA", at positions 354 to 796 of the family's 1533-position model. The record is from RNAcentral.